CCUACGGGAGACAGCAGUAGGGAAUCUUUCACAAUGGGCGAAAGCCUGAUGGAGCAACGCCGCGUGCAGGAUGAAGGCCUUCGGGUUGUAAACUGCUUUUAUAAGCGAGAAAUAUGAUGGUAACUUAUGAAUAAGGAUCGGCUAACUACGUGCCAGCAGCCGCGGUCAUACGUAGGAUCCGAGCAUUAUCCGGAGUGACUGGGUGUAAAGAGUUGCGUAGGUGGCAUAAUAAGUAGCUAGUGAAAUCUGGUGGCUCAACCAUUCAGACUAUUAGCUAAACUGUUAAGCUCGAGACCGUUAGGGGUAACUGGAAUGUCUAGUGUAGGAGUGAAAUCCGUAGAUAUUAGAAGGAACACCAAUAGCGUAGGCAGGUUGCUGGGACGGUUCUGACACUAAGGCACGAAAGCGUAGGGAGCAAACGGGAUUAGAUACCCUAGUAGUC
RNAcentral lists this ribosomal RNA (442 nucleotides) under uncultured bacterium. Its description in RNAcentral is "partial 16S ribosomal RNA". It matches the Rfam family "Bacterial small subunit ribosomal RNA", at positions 338 to 795 of the family's 1533-position model. The record is from RNAcentral.